AGGAAUUUCUGGGGGAACCGUGAAAUGGCUAAAAAUCAGGAAGAACCCCCGUGGCGAAAGGCGGCUACUUGGCCAUAACUGACCCUGAAGGACCAAAGCUAGGGGAGCCAAUGGGAUUAAAUACCCCGGUAAUCCCAGCCGUAAACGAUGGAUACUAGGCGUGGGUUGUAUCGACCCGAUACGUGCCGGAGCUAACGCGUUAAGUAUCCCGCCUGGGGAGUACGCACGCAAGUGGAAAACUCAAAGGAAUUGACGGGGGCCCGCACAAGCGGUGGAGUAUGUGGUUUAAUUCGAUGCAACGCGAAGAACCUUACCUAGACUUGACAUGCCACGAAUCCUUCAGAGAUGUAGGAGUGCCUUCGGGAGCGCCAACACAGGUGGUGCAUGGCUGUCGUCAGCUCGUGUCGUGAGAUGUUGGGUUAAGUCCCGCAACGAGCGCAACCCUCGUUUUUAGUUGCCACCAUUAAGUUGGGCACUCUAGAGAGACUGCCGGUGACAAACCGGAGGAAGGUGGGGAUGACGUCAAGUCAGCAUGCCCCUUACGUCUUGGGCUACACACGUACUACAAUGCUACGGACAAAGGGCAGCUACACAGCGAUGUGAUGCAAAUCUCAGAAACCGUAGCUCAGUUCAGAUCGAAGCUUGCAACUCAGCUUCGUGAAGGAGGAAUCGCUAGUAAUUGCAUGUCAGCAUACUGCAGUGAAUUCGUUCCCGGGCCUUGUACACACCGCCCGUCACACCAUGGAAGCUGGUCACGCCCGAAGUCAUUACCUCAACCCUUCGGGGAGGGGAUGCCUAAGUAGACUGGUGACUGGGGUGAAGUCGUACAGAGAGUAG
This 837-nucleotide ribosomal RNA is filed under the name Nostoc sp. ASN_M. RNAcentral's name for it is "bacterial SSU rRNA". It matches the Rfam family "Bacterial small subunit ribosomal RNA", at positions 662 to 1502 of the family's 1533-position model. The record is from RNAcentral. Lineage: Bacteria; Bacillati; Cyanobacteriota; Cyanophyceae; Nostocales; Nostocaceae.